AAAGGAAUAGACGGGGGCCCGCACAAGCGGUGGAGUAUGUGGUUUAAUUCGACGCAACGCGAAGAACCUUACCAGGCCUUGACAUCCCGGGCGAAGCUAUAGAGAUAUAGUGGAGGCUAUCCCGGUGACAGGUGGUGCAUGGUUGUCGUCAGCUCGUGUCGUGAGAUGUUGGGUUAAGUCCCGCAACGAGCGCAACCCUUGUUUCUAGUUACCAGCAUUCAGUUGGGGACUCUAGAGAGACUGCCGGUGACAAACCGGAGGAAGGUGGGGAUGACGUCAAAUCAUCAUGCCCCUUAUGGCCUGGGCUACACACGUACUACAAUGGCGAUUACAAAGAGCAGCGAACCCGCGAGGGCAAGCGAAUCUCAUAAAGGUCGUCUCAGUUCGGAUUGGAGUCUGCAACUCGACUCCAUGAAGUCGGAAUCGCUAGUAAUCGUAGAUCAGCAUGCUACGGUGAAUACGUUCUCGGGCCUUGUACACACCGCCCGU
This 489-nucleotide ribosomal RNA is filed under the name uncultured bacterium. RNAcentral describes it as "bacterial SSU rRNA". It matches the Rfam family "Bacterial small subunit ribosomal RNA", at positions 903 to 1397 of the family's 1533-position model. The record is from RNAcentral.